Molecule: long non-coding RNA, 304 nt
Filed under: Androctonus crassicauda
Lineage: Eukaryota; Metazoa; Arthropoda; Arachnida; Scorpiones; Buthidae
Source: RNAcentral
AAAAGGUUGAAAAGUAAAGAUAAUGGAACACUUUUAUUGCUUAAUGUUUACAAAAUGGAAAAGAAAAACAUUAUUUUUUGUCCGCGAUGAGGAUAUAAAGACUAAAGGUAAGUUGUCUCUAUGGGCUGUAUCUGCUGCCAGCCCCUCUCUCUUGACCAUCGAGUUUGUACAUACACACGCACUAAUCAUCGCGCUUGACCAAUCAGCAUCGUUCAUUUUGGCUGAACGCCCGCCACUUUAUAAAAUCGCUGCUUAAUAAAAUCAGCUGCUUUAUGCAAUCAAAUCAUUAGGAACGGAUUCAAAC